AACGCACAUUGCGCCCUUUGGCAUUCCGAAGGGCAUGCCUGUUCGAGCGUCAUUAUCACCCCUCAAGCCCCCCUUCUUGAUUGAAGCCCGGCUUGGUGUUGGACGGCUUGGUGUCAGUAAUGUCACCCCUCCUAAAGACAAUGACGGCGGCUUCGUGAGACCCCCGGUACACUGAGUUCCUCACCGAACACGUACUGGAUCAUGGGUAGACGGAGCCCCGGUCGCCCUCCCUUCACGGGGAGACUUCUUCUCAGGUUGACCUCGGAUCAGGUAGGAAUACCCGCUGAACUUAA
RNAcentral lists this unclassified non-coding RNA (293 nucleotides) under uncultured fungus. Its description in RNAcentral is "partial contains 5.8S ribosomal RNA, internal transcribed spacer 2, and large subunit ribosomal RNA". The record is from RNAcentral. Lineage: Eukaryota; Fungi.